GAGUUUGAUCCUGGCUCAGAGCGAACGCUGGCGGCAGGCCUAACACAUGCAAGUCGAACGGGCGUAGCAAUACGUCAGUGGCAGACGGGAGAGUAACACGUGGGAACGUGCCCUUUGGUUCGGAACAACCCAGGGAAACUUGGGCUAAUACCGGAUAAGUCCGUAAGGAGAAAGAUUUAUCGCCAAAGGAUCGGCCCGCGUCUGAUUAGCUUGUUGGUGAGGUAACGGCUCACCAAGGCGACGAUCAGUAGCUGGUCUGAGAGGAUGAUCAGCCUCACUGGGACUGAGACACGGCCCAGACUCCUACGGGAGGCAGCAGUGGGGAAUAUUGGACAAUGGGCGCAAGCCUGAUCCAGCCAUGCCGCGUGGGUGAUGAAGGCCUUAGGGUUGUAAAGCCCUUUCGGCGGGGAAGAUAAUGACGGUACCCGCAGAAGAAGCCCCGGCUAACUUCGUGCCAGCAGCCGCGGUAAUACGAAGGGGGUUAGCGUUGCUCGGAAUCACUGGGCGUAAAGCGCACGUAGGCGGAUUGCUAAGUCAGGGGUGAAAUCCUGGAGCUCAACUCCAGAACUGCCCUUGAUACUGGCGACCUUGAGUCCGGGAGAGGUGAGUGGAACUGCGAGUGUAGAGGUGAAAUUCGUAGAUAUUCGCAAGAACACCAGUGGCGAAGGCGGCUCACUGGCCCGGUACUGAC
RNAcentral lists this ribosomal RNA (691 nucleotides) under uncultured Alphaproteobacteria bacterium. RNAcentral describes it as "bacterial SSU rRNA". It matches the Rfam family "Bacterial small subunit ribosomal RNA", at positions 9 to 744 of the family's 1533-position model. Lineage: Bacteria; Pseudomonadati; Pseudomonadota; Alphaproteobacteria. The record is from RNAcentral.